GUUAGGAAUAUUGGACAAUGGGCGCAAGCCUGAUCCAGCCAUGCCGCGUGAGUGAUGAAGGCCUUCGGGUUGUAAAGCUCUUUAGUCCACGAAUAUAAUGACUGUAGUGGAAGAAUAAGCCCCGGCUAACUUCGUGCCAGCAGCCGCGGUAAUACGAAGGGGGCGAGCGUUAUUCGGAAUCACUGGGCGUAAAGCGUGCGUAGGCUGUUUUGUAAGUCAGAAGUGAAAGCCCAGGGCUUAACCCUGGAAUUGCUUUUGAAACUACAAGACUCGAAUUCGGGAGAGGAUAGCGGAAUUGUCAGUGUAGCAGUGAAAUGCGUAGAUAUUGACAGGAACACCAGUGGCGCAAGCGGCUAUCUGGACGAGUAUUGACGCUGAGGCACGAAAGCGUGGGGAUCAAACAGGAUUAGAAACCCGUGUAGUCC
This 425-nucleotide ribosomal RNA is filed under the name uncultured bacterium. Its description in RNAcentral is "partial 16S ribosomal RNA". It matches the Rfam family "Bacterial small subunit ribosomal RNA", at positions 354 to 796 of the family's 1533-position model. The record is from RNAcentral.